RNAcentral lists this ribosomal RNA (465 nucleotides) under Vreelandella stevensii. Its description in RNAcentral is "partial 16S ribosomal RNA". It matches the Rfam family "Bacterial small subunit ribosomal RNA", at positions 338 to 795 of the family's 1533-position model. The record is from RNAcentral. Lineage: Bacteria; Pseudomonadati; Pseudomonadota; Gammaproteobacteria; Oceanospirillales; Halomonadaceae.
CCUACGGGUGGCAGCAGUGGGGAAUAUUGGACAAUCGGCGAAAGCCUGAUCCAGCCAUGCCGCGUGUGUGAAGAAGGCCUUCGGGUUGUAAAGCACUUUCAGUGGGGAAGAAAGCCUUGGGGCUAAUACCCUCGAGGAAGGACAUCACCCACAGAAGAAGCACCGGCUAACUCCGUGCCAGCAGCCGCGGUAAUACGGAGGGUGCGAGCGUUAAUCGGAAUUACUGGGCGUAAAGCGCGCGUAGGCGGUCUGAUAAGCCGGUUGUGAAAGCCCCGGGCUCAACCUGGGAACGGCAUCCGGAACUGUCAGGCUAGAGUGCAGGAGAGGAAGGUAGAAUUCCCGGUGUAGCGGUGAAAUGCGUAGAGAUCGGGAGGAAUACCAGUGGCGAAGGCGGCCUUCUGGACUGACACUGACGCUGAGGUGCGAAAGCGUGGGUAGCAAACAGGAUUAGAUACCCUGGUAGUC